GAGGGUAUAACUCAGUAGUCGAGUGCAUGCCUAGCAUGUAUGAAGUCCUAGGUUCAAUUCCCAGUGCCUCUG
This 72-nucleotide transfer RNA is filed under the name Camelus bactrianus (Bactrian camel). It matches the Rfam family "tRNA". From Rfam's summary of the family: Transfer RNA (tRNA) molecules are approximately 80 nucleotides in length. Their secondary structure includes four short double-helical elements and three loops (D, anti-codon, and T loops). Lineage: Eukaryota; Metazoa; Chordata; Mammalia; Artiodactyla; Camelidae. RNAcentral also lists the same sequence under 2 other names. The record is from Rfam by way of RNAcentral.